This 253-nucleotide ribosomal RNA is filed under the name uncultured bacterium. RNAcentral's name for it is "partial 16S ribosomal RNA". It matches the Rfam family "Bacterial small subunit ribosomal RNA", at positions 524 to 776 of the family's 1533-position model. The record is from RNAcentral.
UACGAAGGGGGCUAGCGUUGCUCGGAAUCACUGGGCGUAAAGGGUGCGUAGGCGGGUCUUUAAGUCAGGGGUGAAAUCCUGGAGCUCAACUCCAGAACUGCCUUUGAUACUGGGGAUCUCGAGUCCGGAAGAGGUAAGUGGAACUCCGAGUGUAGAGGUGAAAUUCGUAGAUAUUCGGAAGAACACCAGUGGCGAAGGCGGCUUACUGGUCCGGUACUGACGCUGAGGUGCGAAAGCGUGGGGAGCAAACAGG